Molecule: ribosomal RNA, 492 nt
Filed under: uncultured bacterium
Lineage: Bacteria
Description: partial 16S ribosomal RNA
Rfam family: Bacterial small subunit ribosomal RNA
Source: RNAcentral
GGUGAGCGCUGGCGGUAGGCCUAACACAUGCAAGUCGAACGGCAGCACAGUAAGAGCUUGCUCUUACGGGUGGCGAGUGGCGGACGGGUGAGGAAUACAUCGGAAUCUACUUUUUCGUGGGGGAUAACGUAGGGAAACUUACGCUAAUACCGCAUACGACCUACGGGUGAAAGCAGGGGAUCUUCGGACCUUGCGCGAUUGAAUGAGCCGAUGUCGGAUUAGCUAGUUGGCGGGGUAAAGGCCCACCAAGGCGACGAUCCGUAGCUGGUCUGAGAGGAUGAUCAGCCACACUGGAACUGAGACACGGUCCAGACUCCUACGGGAGGCAGCAGUGGGGAAUAUUGGACAAUGGGCGCAAGCCUGAUCCAGCCAUACCGCGUGGGUGAAGAAGGCCUUCGGGUUGUAAAGCCCUUUUGUUGGGAAAGAAAAGCAGCAGGUUAAUACCCCGCUGUUCUGACGGUACCCAAAGAAUAAGCACCGGCUAACUUCGUG